AUACGAAGGGUGCAAGCGUUAAUCGGAAUUACUGGGCGUAAAGCGUGCGUAGGCGGUUUGUUAAGUCUGCUGUGAAAGCCCCGGGCUCAACCUGGGAAUGGCGAUGGAUACUGGCAAGCUAGAGUGUGUCAGAGGGAUGGUGGAAUUCCCGGUGUAGCGGUGAAAUGCGUAGAGAUCGGGAGGAACACCAGUGGCGAAGGCGGCCAUCUGGGACAACACUGACGCUGAGGCACGAAAGCGUGGGGAGC
This 248-nucleotide ribosomal RNA is filed under the name uncultured bacterium. RNAcentral describes it as "partial 16S ribosomal RNA". It matches the Rfam family "Bacterial small subunit ribosomal RNA", at positions 523 to 769 of the family's 1533-position model. The record is from RNAcentral.